This 433-nucleotide ribosomal RNA is filed under the name uncultured bacterium. RNAcentral's name for it is "bacterial SSU rRNA". It matches the Rfam family "Bacterial small subunit ribosomal RNA", at positions 958 to 1392 of the family's 1533-position model. The record is from RNAcentral.
AACGCGAAGAACCUUACCAGGGCUUGACAUGCACUGGAAUGUCGUAGAAAUACGGCAGCCCUUCGGGGCCAGUGCACAGGUGCUGCAUGGCUGUCGUCAGCUCGUGUUGUGAAAUGUUGGGUUAAGUCCCGCAACGAGCGCAACCCUUAUCCUUUGUUGCCAGCGGUCCGGCCGGGAACUCAAAGGAGACUGCCAGUGAUAAACUGGAGGAAGGUGGGGAUGACGUCAAGUCAUCAUGGCCCUUACGACCAGGGCUACACACGUGCUACAAUGGCGCGUACAAAGAGAAGCGACCUCGCGAGAGCAAGCGGACCUCAUAAAGUGCGUCGUAGUCCGGAUUGGAGUCUGCAACUCGACUCCAUGAAGUCGGAAUCGCUAGUAAUCGUGGAUCAGAAUGCCACGGUGAAUACGUUCCCGGGCCUUGUACACACCG